This is a long non-coding RNA of Eptesicus fuscus (big brown bat), 512 nucleotides long. RefSeq lists it as uncharacterized. The record is from RefSeq and is a predicted model, not a curated record. Lineage: Eukaryota; Metazoa; Chordata; Mammalia; Chiroptera; Vespertilionidae. The transcript is spliced from 4 exons.
GAGUGCUGCGUUCUUUCCAACCCUUAGAAAAGUUGAAAAUUGUAGUAGCAUCUCAUUUUGUCCUAUGAUUCAACAAAUAUUGUCCCUAAGUGAGAAAGUGAGCCAGUAAGAAGUCUCCUGGAAGUGCUGCUAUGUAACCACUUUAUUCAGCCUUCUCUAGACAUUUUAUUGAAGUCUGCUGAGUGCCAGAAUCUCUGAGGGAGAGACAGAAAAUUCAAUGAGAGAAAAUCAUUGAUCAGCUGCCUCCUGCAUGUCCCCCACUACGGAUCGUGCCUGCAACCUGGAGAUAAUGGAAGAGAGACGGAAAGACAGAAAUAUCGAUGUGAAACACAUUGACUGGUUGCCUCUUGCAUGCACCCUGACCAGGCCCUGGCUGAGGAGGAGCCUGCAACUGAGGAAGGACAAGAAAGAUGUCUGGCCUAACAACUACUCUCCUGUGUACAGUCCUUCCUUCUUGAGGCUAGUGUGUGACCUCUUCUUUCAUACUGCUCUCUUCGAUCUUGGGUGUUACU